CUUUCACACUUAGAAAAAAAUUUGCGCCCGACCCCAAAACUGAAACAGAAAACCCUAGCGAGACUCCUUCAUUCUAAACUCACCCCAAAUUGGAUCUCCUCCCAAACUCAACCUCCAUUCUGGACCUUAAGCUUACUCGAACUCGAUCGCCGCCAUUCUAGAGCUCCUCAUUGCUUCCUUCUUAUACGUCCUCGGCUUCUUUGGCAUCGACUCCGUCCAGUCCGUCAUCUUACACGCCUCCCACUACGACGGUGACGACGUCCUCAUCAACUCCCGCUGCUGCCCUCCCCCUGCCAAACCCAAAUUCGAUUUCUUCUGCUUGAGGGAUUCGAGUUGAUUUUGCUUCCUCCAAAACCCUUUUCAACUCUUCACAGUUCGCCCUCCAAAGCGUUUUGUCUGAGCUCGUUGAAGGACAAGGUUUAUAGGAUCUUCUGCAGGGAAAAGCGAAAGCUCACCGGUAGAAAGGAGAAACUGUAUUGGAACUAUGUCUCUGUCUCUGAACACCACCAUCAUCCUCAUCCCUGUCUCUGAACACUUGCCUCCAUACAAACACCACCCCCCCCUCCAUUUCUUGGCCACCGUGCUCCAAUUCCAAUCCCCCCAGUUUUUGUUUUGUUGUUGUUAUUAUUAUUAUUAUUAUCACAAUAUUAAGCUCCACAUUAGGACAGCCAUGACAGGCAAGGAAAUCCUCCACAAGAUGAAGGAAAAAGUUUUAGGUCCAUCGGACCCUGACUCUGGCAAAGGUAAGAGCAAGAUGUCACAUAAUAUAUCACAUGGUUACCACUUGGUAAAGGGAAAAUCCCAUCAUGCUAUGGAAGACUGUUGUUGCACAGUUUAAGCAAAUUGAAGACCAUGAGCUAGGACUAUUUGCAAUCUUUGAUGGGCAUUUGAGUCAUGAAAUUCCUUUAAAGAAUGGAAACUCAAUUGAUUAUUAUUGAAGCAACAGUGCAUGUGAGCAUUCAUAGAACCCCAAAAAAAAAUAAGAAUCGUAAGUUGCAGGCACUAUGCUAUAUAAUAUUGGGUUGUAAACUUAUGAAGGGGACAGGAGGUCAGGAUACAGCUUGCAGAGAAAUGCCCAGUGACCAACACCUUUUUAUAUUUUUCUGCAUUGGGGGCUAAAUAUUAUAACUAUACUAUGAAUUCUUACAACCCAAAAUGCUGGGAAAAUUGGGGGAACUAUACAUAUUGGAUUUCUUUCACCUAAAGAGAUGAUUACAGUCGUAUGCUCCAAUCUUAUUGUCUGCAAUUCAACAGUAUGCACUACACAGAAUGACGUGAUCACCUUCUCCUUGUUAGGCUGCCGGUCACGUACGAGCA
Molecule: long non-coding RNA, 1317 nt
Organism: Rosa chinensis
Lineage: Eukaryota; Viridiplantae; Streptophyta; Magnoliopsida; Rosales; Rosaceae
Exons: 3
Source: RefSeq, a predicted model, not a curated record